Molecule: unclassified non-coding RNA, 261 nt
Filed under: Hevea brasiliensis (rubber tree)
Lineage: Eukaryota; Viridiplantae; Streptophyta; Magnoliopsida; Malpighiales; Euphorbiaceae
Source: RNAcentral
AGUUGGCAUGAUAUACUAUGUCUAGAGAGAGGCUUGGAGCCAAGAGAACAUUGAACGCCUUCAUCGGAGUUACUUGCAGAAUCUUUUCACAGGUAGAUGAACUUUUUCUUGAAUAUUUUUGCCCCAAAUACCAAGUCUUGCUCAUCACUAAUCUUUGUAUUGUUAGUAUAUAUAUAUUUGUUAUAUCAUCUCUUUCACAUAUGACCUGUAUUUAUUUGUGUAUUUUAUAGUUAGAUAGAGACAGUAGUUAUAAUUUUAAUA